RNAcentral lists this ribosomal RNA (253 nucleotides) under uncultured bacterium. RNAcentral describes it as "partial 16S ribosomal RNA". It matches the Rfam family "Bacterial small subunit ribosomal RNA", at positions 524 to 776 of the family's 1533-position model. The record is from RNAcentral.
UACGAAGGGGGCUAGCGUUGCUCGGAAUCACUGGGCGUAAAGCGCACGUAGGCGGACCUGCAAGUCGGGGGUGAAAGCCCGAGGCUCAACCUCGAGACGUCGGCGGAAACCAUCUGGCUAGAGUCCGGAAGAGGAGAGUGGAAUUCCUGGUGUAGCGGUGAAAUGCGCAGAUAUCAGGAAGAACACCCGUGGCGAAGGCGGCUCUCUGGGCUGACACUGACGCUCAUGCACGAAAGCGUGGGGAGCAAACAGG